CAACACAAUUAUCAAGCAGUGCCGCACCCUUGACUGACAGGGUGAGAAAACAUCUGCGGGGGAGUGAUACCCCCCCCCCCCAGCCCCACCCCCCAGACUGAUAGUCUCUGAUAAACAGACGGUCAGUGGAGAAUGUUGUUGAUUUUGUUUUUCUUUAGUCAUAAGAUGUUUUUUAAUAACUUUAGCUCACACUGAAAAUUUAGUUUCAACAUUUGAAGUAGUAUUUGUUCAUGUGUAGUAGUACAAUGUGGUAAUACACAUCAUAUAUACACAAUAAAUACUUCACUGUCUGUAUACAAAGACACUGUAGCAGUAAAACUGACGACGUUUAUCUGUUCACUUUAUUAACAUUAGGUUGAUACUAAUGUUAGAAAAAAUGUAAUAAUUGUUGUAAAAAAAAUAUUAUUUUCACUUGAAUUCUUUGUUUUGAUCCAUUUACAGAACAGAAUUAACUGCAUGACGACAGGUAUGAAAAUCACAAACUCACUGGAACAUGAAUCUACAGGACGACACCAGUGUGACUGACCAACCGUACACACACUUCUAAUGCUGGUAAUAAUCAUUUUCACAUGUACUCGUUAACUGGAUCGGGAAGGUCAAAGGUCACACAUCAUGGAAAGACACGCAGCACAGGAAGUGUCUCAAAUAAAAAACAGCUAACGUAAGAAAAGAAAAGUAGCAACAAGUGCAGCAGUAACUGUCACUUCAAAAGACGAAAAGACAGAGAAUCUGUGACGGAGAGAGAGAGAGAACUCUGAUCUGAACAUGAGUCAAAAAUCACAAAUCUAUUUCUCUACAAAUCCUUUAUUUAAGUCUAAACUCUUCUGAAAAUUCUGUUUCCAUCCAUGACUGCAGGUGUGAAGACUCCAAACUAAAAAAAAAAAUCCUCCCUGAACCCAGACUAUUCUGGGCCAGGCCUGUGUGUGUCAUCCAUGAUUCAAAUAUUUCAGCCUCCAGCUGUGAUUGGACCAUUCUGUUUGUCAUGUGCGCAGCAUGGACUGCCAUGACUCGUCCUCCAGGCACCAGGACGGAUCACACCUCUGAGACAGAGAUCACAAAGAGGAUCCCCCGGCCUGACACGCGGCUCUUUACGACCCCUCCAAUAAAGAAGUGACUCUUUGAUCAGGUCACAUGACACGCUGCAUGAAAACACUGAGCGCUCAUUCAUUAUGCCUGAGCAGUUCAGGGACUAAAGGUAAGUCAUUAGCAUUUCCCCGUGGCUGCCUUUGUUUUGUUACAGACCAGAACAACAGGACGUGUUAGUUUGGACGUUAGUUUGGAGGUUUUUCCAAACAAAUCCAAGGAAAACAAAGCCUCGUCAUUCACAGGCCUGUUCCCCUCAGCGCUCCGUCCAAUCACACACACACAUACACACACCCCCUCCAACAGGAGUGUGUGUUCAUUAUUACGCAGCAGCAGUUUCUCAGUAACUUCAACUGUUCACAAAGUCACAAUCAAGCUUCUCUGUAAUCAUCAGCCGUGCACCUCCAUGGCUCCACACGAGGUUAUCAGUCCGCCUGGAGGAUGUAGACUAAUGACCGGACUGGCCCUGGUCCAUCACUGAAACUGUGCCAGUGACACCACCCCCCCGCCCCUCCACUACCUCACAGAUGGCGUCGGUCCAAUCGCAGCCAAACGGACUAGUUUGUUAAACAUUUCACCCUCGUGGAACCGACAGAUGAGGAACUGUUGUACGUGUACGUGAUGACAUCACUGCUGUGACAUCACAGGCUCCUGCAGCAGGUGAGUGUUAGAUGAUAAGUAGAUUGGUGGUUCCUGUUUAAAUCUUCAUAUUUCAGGUGCAGCCCAGAGGAGAAGCUGUAGAGUCUGGUAGGAAAAUGUGCUCCAACAUUAUCAUCCUGGAUGUUGACACAGGGAAAGUCCUCCAGGCGGUGCUGAUAAGCCCCAGGGAUUCUGGGAAAUGAGCGGUGGCACCGAGAAGCUCUGAAGGCUCUGACCAGUUCAGGUGGAGUGACCCAGGAACAACAGGUCAAUGAGACACUAAAGAGAGCGUGCACCUCAGGUUUCAGCUCCACUUCAGUCUCAUUUACCUACAACACGGUGGCGGAGCGCAGCCUCAAACCAACAACCCCCUCAAGCAUCAUGAAUAUUUAAUCGUGAUGGGACGUUUCCCUCCUCCAGCCCUUCUGGGACAUUUAGACCUCCUUAAUCAUUAAUAUGAACUUGUUAGGCACUUUACAUAAUGAGCAAUGUGAAAAAAAAUAUGUCAGUGGAAGCUAAAAGGAGUAAAUACGCCUGCGUCCCGGCUGCCGGGGCUGAUGUUGGCGACCAGGGAGCCUCAUAAUCCCUGUCAGCUGCCUGGGCGCACACGGCCGUCCUCACAGGCAGCAUCAUGUGACGGAGUGCAUGUGAGCGGGCGAUAAGUCUACCUACAGACCCCCGGGGGGCAGCACAGGCAGCAGCCGCAGUCGGCUCUGAGACAAAGCUGACAUCCCAUAAUAACACAGACGCAGCACGGUGUGCUGGACCAACAGAUGUUGUUGUUCUGCUGCUGCUGCUGCAGGAGGCGCUAAUGUCAACUAAUAUCACCUGGUACAGACUGAUCACAGCGAUGAACGGUGAGGAGAGGAAGUUAAAGUGUCUGAUCCUGAACAAACACAGGUUCAGUUUAAAGAAAAAGAAUCUGAAUGAAACAUUCUCACCAGUCUGACUCAGCUGUGGCUCCAGUUAAAAAAAGACACACUGUAACUGUUGAAUACAUUUAUAUCAAGUGAGGAACGUUACUGUGAAAUGUUCCUGAAAUGACUGAAAUCCCCUGGACCUUUUUUUUUCUUGCAGGUGUUUGGACUGUCGUUCUCUCACCGUGGACCUGGGCUGUGAACCAGUGACCUUUUUGACAGAAUCACCUUUACUGGUCAGUGUAAAGUCAGUGUAAAUUUAGUGAAGAAGUUGGUUAAUGUAACAUCACGACGAUGUGUCCAAAUACUUUACUUUCAUCAAGGAUGAAACGACUGACUUAACAAAAUGACCAGAAAGUACUGACGUGAAGGAAUGUGAAAUCACUGAACCUGUUUAUGUUUAAUUUACUCCAAACAUUUGAAUGUUUUUAGCUAAACACACACAUCAACAAAGUCACUGUUUAACAACAGAAAGUGAUUUGAGUUGUACUCCAGUAUUGCAGUAUUACUGAGUAUUACUGAAGUCCUGGGACAAACACACCCAGCUAAUGAGUUGUUUCCCAGAAGAUCACAUGUUUCUUCAGACGAACCGGGGCUGCAUCAGUUGCUGAAGUCACACCACGUGACCCUGAGAAUCCACGGUGAGUCAAAGCAGAAGAACAAAUAAAAAAAAACUGUGCUGCGUUUAAUGUUAAUCUGCUCAAAUACGUGAAAAUGUAAAAAAAAAAAAAAGUUCAACACACACAGACUGACUGAAGAAGAACACCGUGAGGGUGAACCGAGGAUGGGGCUGCAACGAAUUCAUGUUACAGUGAAAACGAAUCAAAUUUUCUUCGAUUAAUCGCCUGUGUCUAUGACGAUACGCUCGAAUGUAGCCAACCGAGGAGAUGUAUAGUUUACAGUGAGAAGCAAAUGAAACAAGGAAAA
This is a long non-coding RNA of Cynoglossus semilaevis (tongue sole), 3566 nucleotides long. RefSeq lists it as uncharacterized. Lineage: Eukaryota; Metazoa; Chordata; Actinopteri; Pleuronectiformes; Cynoglossidae. The transcript has 2 exons. The record is from RefSeq and is a predicted model, not a curated record.